This 245-nucleotide ribosomal RNA is filed under the name uncultured marine eukaryote. RNAcentral's name for it is "partial 18S ribosomal RNA". It matches the Rfam family "Eukaryotic small subunit ribosomal RNA", at positions 1189 to 1456 of the family's 1831-position model. The record is from RNAcentral.
CUUAAUUUGACUCAACGCGGGGAAACUCACCAGGUCCAGACACGAUGAGGAUUGACAGAUUGAGAGCUCUUUCUUGAUUUCGUGGGUGGUGGUGCAUGGCCGUUCUUAGUUGGUGGAGUGAUUUGUCUGCUUAAUUGCGAUAACGAACGAGACCUUAACCUGCUAAAUAGCCCCUAUUACUUUGGUAGUAGGCCGGCUUCUUAGAGGGACUAUCGGCUCAAGCCGAUGGAAGUUUGAGGCAAUAA